Molecule: long non-coding RNA, 596 nt
Filed under: Musa acuminata (dwarf banana)
Lineage: Eukaryota; Viridiplantae; Streptophyta; Magnoliopsida; Zingiberales; Musaceae
Description: long non-coding RNA (MACU_LNC008847)
Source: RNAcentral
GUCCCUCCAUUUCAAAGAAGUCCGACUCAAUUUUAAUAUUAAGGUGAAUAUUGUUUCUUCUGGGAAGGUGACCAAUCUUGAUGACUAGACGAGAGUGAUUGAAAGCUAUACAAGGAGAAUGAGAAACAAUAGUGUUGUUAAAAACCAAAUACCACAAAUUAUAGAAAACUCUAUCUGCACGAGCAGAAACUCGAUUUCUUCCAAAAUGAUUAUUACACCACGUAGAAUGAUUUCCAAUAAAUCCAAUAUCGAUAAGAUAAUUUUAAAAAAUGAAAUCAUUGAAAUCCAAAAUGGACGGAGUUAAAGCGAAGGGGCACCCCCUAGUUUAUUUAUAGGACAUGAAAUGGAAUUUAUGUUACCGUAGAUAAUCCACGGAAAAUAGGAGGUAUCAAUUUGAAAAAACAAAGUCCAAAGGGAUUUACGAAGAUGAGAAAUUACACUAGCAUAAACCAUAGAAAGAAGGUAAGGCGGCUUACCCGAUGCUUUAGUGAUACGGUUAAUUGCUUACCUACUGAGGAAAGCCAUAGUGUUUGAAGGAAUGAGGCUUUUAGGCCACCAAAAUUCCCUAGACCUCCCUUUUGCAGUAGAGAAAGCAC